AUACUUACAUGGCAGGGGAGAGAUCAUGAUCACAAAGGUGGUUUUCCCAGGCGAGGCUUAUCCACUGCAUUCCAGAUGCGCUAACCGCUGCGAUUUUCCCAAAUGUGGGAAUCUCGACUGCAUCAUUUGUGGUAGUGGGGGACUGUAUUCAUGCUCUCCCCUA
This is a small nuclear RNA of Eptesicus fuscus (big brown bat), 163 nucleotides long. RefSeq annotates it as U1 spliceosomal RNA. Lineage: Eukaryota; Metazoa; Chordata; Mammalia; Chiroptera; Vespertilionidae. The record is from RefSeq and is a predicted model, not a curated record. The transcript has a single exon.